GACGAACGCUGGCGGCGUGCUUAACACAUGCAAGUCGAACGGAAAGGCCCUGCUUUUGUGGGGUGCUCGAGUGGCGAACGGGUGAGUAACACGUGAGUAACCUGCCCUUGACUUUGGGAUAACUUCAGGAAACUGGGGCUACUACCGUAUAGGAGCUCCUGCUGCAUGGUGGGGGUUGGAAAGUUUCGGCGGGUGGGGAUGGACUCGCGGCUUAUCAGCUUGUUGGUGGGGUAGUGGCUUACCAAGGCAUUGACGGGUAGCCGGCCUGAGAGGGUGACCGGGCACAUUGGGACUGAGGUACGGCCCAGAGUCCUACGGGAGGCAGCAGUGGGGAAUAUUGCACAAUGGGCGGAAGCCGGAUGCAGCAACGCCGCGUGCGUGAUGACGGCCUUCGGGGUGUAAACCGCUUUCGCCUGUGACGAAGCGUGAGUGACGGUAAUGGGUAAAGAAGCACCGGCUAACUACGUG
This 468-nucleotide ribosomal RNA is filed under the name uncultured bacterium. RNAcentral describes it as "partial 16S ribosomal RNA". It matches the Rfam family "Bacterial small subunit ribosomal RNA", at positions 28 to 507 of the family's 1533-position model. The record is from RNAcentral.